Molecule: ribosomal RNA, 253 nt
Filed under: uncultured bacterium
Lineage: Bacteria
Description: partial 16S ribosomal RNA
Rfam family: Bacterial small subunit ribosomal RNA
Source: RNAcentral
GACAGAGGAGCCAAGCGUUGUCCGGAUUGACUGGGCGUAAAGCCCACGCAGGCGGCCCGGCGCGUGGGGUGUGAAAGCUGGCGGCUUAACUGCCAGACGCCAUCCCAUACGGCUGGGCUCGAGCCCUGCAGAGGUCCAUGGAAUUGCCGGUGUAGUGGUGAAAUGCGUAGAGAUCGGCAGGAACACCCAGGGGGAAACCAGUGGACUGGGCAGGAGCUGACGCUCAGGUGCGAAAGCGUGGGGAGCGAACCGG